Molecule: ribosomal RNA, 301 nt
Filed under: uncultured bacterium
Lineage: Bacteria
Description: partial 16S ribosomal RNA
Rfam family: Bacterial small subunit ribosomal RNA
Source: RNAcentral
CAGUCGCCGCGGUAAUACGGAGGGUGCAAGCGUUAAUCGGAAUUACUGGGCGUAAAGCGCACGCAGGCGGUCUGACAAGUCAGAUGUGAAAUCCCCGGGCUUAACCUGGGAACUGCAUUUGUGACUGUAUAGCUAGAGUACGGCAGAGGGGGAUGGAAUUCCGCGUGUAGCAGUGAAAUGCGUAGAUAUGCGGAGGAACACCGAUGGCGAAGGCAAUCCCCUGGGCCUGUACUGACGCUCAUGCACGAAAGCGUGGGGAGCAAACAGGAUUAGAGACCCCCGUAGUCCCUGUCUCUUAUAC